GAUGAACGCUAGCUACAGGCUUAACACAUGCAAGUCGAGGGGCAGCAUGACCUAGCAAUAGGUUGAUGGCGACCGGCGCACGGGUGAGUAACACGUAUCCAACCUGCCGAUUAUUCCGGGAUAGCCUUUCGAAAGAAAGAUUAAUACUGGAUAGCAUAACGAGAAGGCAUCUUCUUGUUAUUAAAGAAUUUCGAUAAUCGAUGGGGAUGCGUUCCAUUAGUUUGUUGGCGGGGUAACGGCCCACCAAGACAUCGAUGGAUAGGGGUUCUGAGAGGAAGGUCCCCCACAUUGGAACUGAGACACGGUCCAAACUCCUACGGGAGGCAGCAGUGAGGAAUAUUGGUCAAUGGACGAGAGUCUGAACCAGCCAAGUAGCGUGAAGGAUGACUGCCCUAUGGGUUGUAAACUUCUUUUAUAGGGGAAUAAAGUGGGCCACGUGUGGCUUUUUGUAUGUACCAUACGAAUAAGGAUCGGCUAACUCCGUG
RNAcentral lists this ribosomal RNA (485 nucleotides) under uncultured bacterium. RNAcentral describes it as "partial 16S ribosomal RNA". It matches the Rfam family "Bacterial small subunit ribosomal RNA", at positions 28 to 507 of the family's 1533-position model. The record is from RNAcentral.